AACGUAGGAGACGAACGUUAUCCGGAGUUACUGGGCGUAAAGGGCGUGUAGGCGGUAUGUUAAGUCUGGCGUGAAAGCUCUCGGCUAAACCGGGAGAGGUCGUUGGAUACUGACACACUAGAGGAUGGUAGAGGCGUGUGGAAUUCCGGGUGUAGUGGUGAAAUGCGUAGAGAUCCGGAGGAACACCAGUGGCGAAGGCGGCGUUCUGGACUGCUACUGACACUGAGGAACGAAAGCCAGGGGAGCAAACGGG
This 253-nucleotide ribosomal RNA is filed under the name uncultured bacterium. Its description in RNAcentral is "partial 16S ribosomal RNA". It matches the Rfam family "Bacterial small subunit ribosomal RNA", at positions 524 to 776 of the family's 1533-position model. The record is from RNAcentral.